UGGUUGAUCCUGCCGAAGGCUACUGCUAUUGGAGUUCGAUUAAGCCAUGCGAGUCUAAGGGGUACUUGUACCCCUGGCAUAAUGCUCAGUAACACGUGGAUAAUCUACCCUUAGGUGGGGCAUAAACCCGGGAAACUGGGGCUAAUACCCCAUAGAUACAGAAGGCUGGAAUGCCUCUGUAUUCAAAGCUCCGGCGCCUAAGGAUGAGUCUGCGACCUAUCAGGUAGUAGUCAGGGUCACGACCUGACUAGCCAACGACGGGUACGGGGUGUGAGAGCACUUGCCCGGAGAUGGUUUCUGAGACACGAAACCAGGCCCUACGGGGCGCAGCAGGCGCGAAAACUUCGCAAUGCGGGAAACCGUGACGAGGGAACUCCAAGUGUCUAUGCAAUGCAUAGACUGUUUUUCAGCCUAAAUAGCUGUUAGAGUAAGGGGUGGGUAAGACCGGUGCCAGCCGCCGCGGUAACACCGGCACCCCGAGUGGUAGCCACUAUUAUUGGGCCUAAAGCGUUCGUAGCCGGUUUAGUAAAUUCUUGGGUAAAUCGUACAGCUUAACUGUGCGGAUUCCGGGGACACUACUAGACUUGAGACCGGGAGAGAUUAGAGGUACUUGCAGGGGAGCGGUGAAAUGUUGUAAUCCUGCAGGGACCACCAGUGGCGAAGGCGUCUAAUCAUAACGGCUCUGACAGUGAGGAACGAAACCCUGGGGCGCAAACGGGAUUAGAUACCCCGGUAGUCCAGGGCGUAAACGCUGCUGACUUGGUGUUGGAGAUCCUACGAGGGUGUCCAGUGCUGGCGCGAAGGUAUUAAGUCAGCCGCCUGGGGAGUACGGUCGCAAGACUGAAACUUAAAGGAAUUGGCGGGGGAGCACUGCAACGUGUGGAGCGUGCGGUUUAAUUGGACUCAACGCCGGGA
Molecule: ribosomal RNA, 915 nt
Filed under: uncultured marine group III euryarchaeote
Lineage: Archaea; Methanobacteriati; Thermoplasmatota; Thermoplasmata; Candidatus Thermoprofundales
Description: bacterial SSU rRNA
Rfam family: Archaeal small subunit ribosomal RNA
Source: RNAcentral